AAAAGAAAAGAUUGUUUUGUAUGGUUUCUAAAUUAACUAAGGGGGUGUUUUUCGUUAAUGGAUUUUAUAGAAUUGAAAUCCAACACUAAUCCACUAUUAUUUAACUAAUGAUUCUAAAUCCAGCUUUAAAAUCUAGUGUUAUUGGAACUCAUAUUUGUAAAUCAUGCUUAAUAGAUUCUAAAGUUUGGUGUUAUUCAAUUAAGAUUUUAAAUAUUUCAUUAAAAUCCAAUGUUAUUCAAAACUAAAAGACUUGUAAAAUCUUUGUAUAUUAAUUGAUUUGAAAUGAAAGUUCUUUAGAGUUUCAUGAGUAAAUCAUUAGAAUCAAAAUCCAAGACAUAUUGCAGAGAUUUUGAAAUUCAUACAAACAUAUUCUUAAAAGCAAUAUCGGAAAACAAAUCUAAAGCUUAAAGAAUUGACUUUAACUCCAUAAUUGAAUAACACCACCUAAGACAUUAGUAAAUUGUAAGUGAAUAAAAGAAAGCAACAAAAAUAGUUAACAAUUGGUAGAUAAGAAUUACAUGCAGUGUAAGAAAAUUUCACAAGGACUCAAAUCACAAUUAUCAAAUUUUGUAA
This 573-nucleotide small RNA is filed under the name Arabidopsis thaliana (thale cress). RNAcentral describes it as "ATSL066310". Lineage: Eukaryota; Viridiplantae; Streptophyta; Magnoliopsida; Brassicales; Brassicaceae. The record is from RNAcentral.